UUGGGAGCUCUCCCAUAUGGUCGACCUGCAGGCGGCCGCGAAUUCACUAGUGAUUAGAGUUUGAUCAUGGCUCAGAACGAACGCUGGCGGCAUGCCUAACACAUGCAAGUCGAACGAAGGCUUCGGCCUUAGUGGCGCACGGGUGCGUAACGCGUGGGAAUCUGCCCCUUGGUUCGGAAUAACAGUUAGAAAUGACUGCUAAUACCGGAUGACGACGUAAGUCCAAAGAUUUAUCGCCGAGGGAUGAGCCCGCGUAGGAUUAGCUAGUUGGUGUGGUAAAGGCGCACCAAGGCGACGAUCCUUAGCUGGUCUGAGAGGAUGAUCAGCCACACUGGGACUGAGACACGGCCCAGACUCCUACGGGAGGCAGCAGUGGGGAAUAUUGGACAAUGGGCGAAAGCCUGAUCCAGCAAUGCCGCGUGAGUGAUGAAGGCCUUAGGGUUGUAAAGCUCUUUUACCCGGGAUGAUAAUGACAGUACCGGGAGAAUAAGCUCCGGCUAACUCCGUGCCAGCAGCCGCGGUAAAUCGAAUUCCCGCGGCCGCC
This 544-nucleotide ribosomal RNA is filed under the name uncultured Alphaproteobacteria bacterium. RNAcentral describes it as "bacterial SSU rRNA". It matches the Rfam family "Bacterial small subunit ribosomal RNA", at positions 1 to 540 of the family's 1533-position model. The record is from RNAcentral. Lineage: Bacteria; Pseudomonadati; Pseudomonadota; Alphaproteobacteria.